GAAGCUGCGCGCGCUACCCGGGUAACGGGUCCCGGCUGUGGAAGCUCCCGCGGCGCCGCGAUGGACCUCGAGGAGGCGGAAGAGUUUAAAGAACGCUGUGCUCAGUGUGCUGCUGUCUCAUGGGGUCUUACUGAUGAAGGCAAAUAUUAUUGCACUUCUUGCCACAAUGUUACAGAGAGAUAUCAGGAAGUUACAAACACUGAUCUUAUUCCUAAUACCCAAAUAAAAGCCCUCAACCGGGGGCUUAAAAAAAAAAACAAUACUGAAAAAGGCUGGGAUUGGUAUGUGUGUGAAGGUUUCCAGUACAUUCUUUAUCAACAAGCAGAAGCCUUAAAGAACCUUGGAGUAGGCCCAGAGUUAAAGAACAAUGUUUUACAUAAUUUUUGGAAGCGCUAUCUUCAGAAGAGCAAGCAGGCAUAUUGUAAGAACCCAGUUUAUACCACUGGAAGGAAACCUACGGUAUUAGAAGAUAAUCUAAGUCAUUCAGACUGGGCUAGUGAGCCUGAGCUGCUAAGUGAUGUCAGCUGUCCUCCUUUUCUUGAAAGUGGAGCGGAGUCUCAGUCUGACAUCCACACUCGAAAACCUUUCCCCGUCAGCAAAGCAUCACAAUCAGGGACAUAAAGUUCAAGUGGAUCCAGAAAGAAGGAGGCUACUUCAAAAAGAUCUAUAUGUGUGGGCUCAGCGUCUUCAAAGAAAAGUUGUAGCAGAAAAAUGU
RNAcentral lists this small RNA (715 nucleotides) under Pan troglodytes (chimpanzee). RNAcentral describes it as "processed transcript". Lineage: Eukaryota; Metazoa; Chordata; Mammalia; Primates; Hominidae. The record is from RNAcentral.